Molecule: long non-coding RNA, 3930 nt
Filed under: Nicotiana benthamiana
Lineage: Eukaryota; Viridiplantae; Streptophyta; Magnoliopsida; Solanales; Solanaceae
Description: long non-coding RNA (NBEN_LNC008036)
Source: RNAcentral
GAUUUUAUGAAUAAAAGAGGAGAAAAUAGAUCAAUUUAAACCCUUACAAUUAUGGGAAAAGUUAUAAAAAUCUUGUGCAUGCUUAUAUAUAUAUAUAUACACACACACUAUUUUGAAGGUAUUUAUGCAUAUUUAAAAAAUAUAGGAAAAAUUGGGUAUCAACAAUGUAUUCAUCAGUUUAGUAUGCAAGUGUUCAUGCAAGUUCAUGUUUCCACCAGACCCGUUUAAGGUUCUAAGUUAGCCAAAGUUAUAGUCAGGACAAUCAUUCAAGCACAAUGAUCCCAAGGGGGAGAUAAUGUAAUACUUGUAAAUUCAGACUAGGUGUGGUUAUACUAAAUGAGUAUUAAUGUGACAUCUUAGACAUAUGAAGUCCUAUCGGGAUAAUUAUGGGUGAAAAUAGUUAUUUUGUUAUCAAGACAGAGAGUGAGGUGCAUAAGAUUCGAUAAAAUCAACUAAGUUAAUAGAAGUUCUGACUUCCAUAUGGCUUUCAUGAACAUAUGUUCAGAAUUUUAGAAAAUGUAAAACAUGUAAGUUGUACCCUUUUUAAAAAGCUUACCAAAGAUAUAUUAUGGGGCCAAAACAGACUUCUUAGACAAAGGUUACGUACGUUUUACUGGAAAAUGUGCAGCAUGCGCGCCUUAGUGUGCUCCCAUAUGGUCUCGUGCAUGGCCGCGCACUGCUGCAUGUCUAGGUGUGCGGUUGGGCCUCCAGGUGCACGGAAGCAUACCUUGGGGUAAUUCUAAAAGCCCUACUUCGUCCCCCACAUCCCAAAACACAAAAACGUGUUCUAGAAAGGGAAGCUCCCAGGAACCUAACUCUUCAAAGGUCCCUCCACCAUCCAAUAUAAGUUCUAAUGAUGAUUUUAAGUUAAUAUCAAUUUCCAACACCUUAUUAACAUGGGUAGACCCUCUAAAUCAUUAGAUAUUCGAUUGAGACAUCAUGGUUGAGAAAAGAAAUCCCAGAAUUCGAAUUCAAAUAGAUUGAAUGUCAAAAGGUAAUAUCAUCAUCCUCUAAUUGAUUAUAAUAUUGGAUAAAUGAUUAUAGAUUCUAAGUUCAUGAGAUAUGAAUUGAUGGGUGUGAUAAAAAAAAUAUGAAUGAUUAUAGGUUUGGAUGGUUUAUUAUUGGUUAAGAGUGUUGUUUAUCUUAUAGAUGAAGUAGAAUGACAUUGAUUAUAAAACAUUUGAGAUUUUAGAAUUUAUUUAGGAGCAAGAAAAUGAAUUUUUGGGUGUAGAAAACCCAUUAAUGAGGGUUAUGAGGCUUUAUGCCCACAACGUAUUUGUUAAAAUGCUUAAGUGACCAAAAUAUGAGUAUUAUUGCUGAUAUGGAAUCUCUUUGACAUGUGAUUAAAGUUAAAAGGGUUGGAAAUGUUGUAUUAUGCUCAAGAGCAGGAAGUUAAUAUAUGUGAGGCUAACUCUUAAUAUUUAGGAAUGUUAAUGAUUCUCCCUGCACUAUAUUUUUUUUACGACAUUACUAAUUGUCUCAGAAAUAUAAUUAAGCCUUGUUCCUUAAAUAGUUGCAGAACUUCUAUUAUCUAGCUUCAUAACUCAUUCUUGACUUUCAUUGAACGUUGUGAGAUCAAUAUAGACUUGGGUUUGAUACUCAUGAGUCUCAUCCUAGAUUACUCAACAUGUCAUAAAAAAUUGAAGUAUCAGUUUUCAUAAUCAGUUCAAGAAUACAUGUCUCAAUCCUGUCAUAUUUAGUAUUCCAGUAUUAUGUAACUCAAUAUGAUUCUAUAUUUCAGCAUCACAUAUUCCAGUAUGAUUCUCAGUUUCUGAAUUUAAAUUCCUUAAUGUUAAACACCUGUAUUUGGACCCAAGAAUGUAGUUUAUAUGCUUUAUGCAUAUUUGGACCUGAGGCUGUAAAUUUACGUUUUAUGCAUGUUUGGACCUGAGGCUGUAAUUGAUGCUUUAUAUAUAUUUGGGCCUGAGGCCGUAGUUAUGUUUAUGUAUACUUGGACCUGAGACCGUAGCUUGUGCGCAUAUAUUGGACCAAGGCUGUAGUUUAUUCAGAUAAAUAAGUUGUUCGUCAUUUAGAAGAGGGAGUAUUCAUAUCCUCACUUCCUUUGUCCAGUUCAGUUAUUAGUUACCAUUUCACUUAUCAGUUAUCAUUUAAGUUAUCACUUAUCAGUUAUUAUUUUAUUUCAGUUUUAAUAAUUACCAUUUUAGUUAUCAAUUAUCAAUUCUUAGUUAUCACCUCAGUAUCAGUUUUAACAUUAAUAAUUCUUUCUUUCAGUUGCUUUGCAUAUCAGUGCAAUUCAAAUGGACUAACGUCCCUUUGCCUGGAUCUCAUGGUGCAGGUAAUAAUUUACAGGAUAGAAAUUCAGAGUGCUAGGAUUCUUGUACCAGCUAUUUGGUGAGCCUUAGUUCUUUAGGGGCAUUAUUAUUACUUUACAGUCUUUCAGUAUAUAGACAGCCAAUAUUUGCAAUACUUCAUUAAAGGCUUCAUAGACUAGAGUAAUAGUUAGAUAGAGUCACAGGCUUUUUAUGUUAAGCAAUAUUGGCUACAGAUAUACUUCUGAAUUAUGCUAGUGUUUCCGCAUAUUAAUUUAUAUCAUUCAAACUUUUAGUAUAUCAGCAUGUUUUAGUUCAUCUUCCAUAUUCAGUAUUGCUAUAAUAUCAUAUGUUUAUUCAGCUAGCCAGUCGGUUCGUUUGGUUACAGUAGUCAGGCACCGGGAGCCGUGUUACGUCCAGGCCAGGUUCCGGGCGUGACAAGAUGCACCUAGAAAAAUUGAUGAAGCUGAUUGUAAAGGGUUCACAGUCACUUAGCCAAAUGGAUAACUGAAGUCAUGGAUAGUUAUUCUGGUGAUAAUAAGUUACAAGAGUUGAUCACAUAACUUUGUGUGCACCCUAAUAGCCACUUAGAUCUCAAGUUUAACCAUGAAAUUCUGAGAAUCCAAGGGCGGAUUAGGGUAGGAAGCUACGACCAAUUGCAAUCAAAACUAAUCUCUAAGCUUCAUUCAACUCCUUGGGGUGACCAUUCAGGUGUUUUGCCACUCAACAAAGGAUCAAGAAUCUAUCCUAUUGGCCUAAUUUAUUAACAAACAUCAAGAAAUUUGUGAAAGAAUGUGAAGUGUGUCAGAGAAAUAAAGGGGAGAAUAUACCAUACCCAGAUAUUCAAUAACCACUUCCAAUUCCCAGUAGAGCAUGGGAACACUUGGCUAUAGAUUUCAUUAGUGGCCUGCCAAAAUUAAAAGGGAAGAACUCAAUAUUUGUAGUAAUCGAUAUGUUUACCAAAUUUGCAUAUUCCUUUGCACUUACCCAGCCCUAUGAUGUUGCCCAAAUCUCACAGAUUUUCUUAACUUAUGUGUGCAAAUUACAUGGGGUACCUAGCUCAAUUGUGUCUGACAGAGAUCCUAUUUUUGCUAGCACUUUUUUGGAUGGAGUUGUUUAAGGGUCUACUGGUACAAAUAAACCCAGUUCUACCUACUACCCACACACUGAUGUCCAAAUAAUUAAAUAGAUGCUUAGAGUGUUACCCAAGAUGCAUGACUGGCCAUAUUCCAAUUGAGUAGAGCAAAUGGUUGUCCUUAGCUGAAUUCUGAUAUAACUCCAAUUAUCAGUCCUCAAUUGGUAUGAACCCCUUUAAAGCCUUAUAUGGCUAUGACCCUCCACAACCCACCUUCGAAUUGAUAGCACAAACAAAGUCAGUAGAUGCAGAUAAAGUUCUCAUAUAAAGAUAAUUGAUGAACAAAGUCCUUCAGGAGAAGCUCAGAAAGGCACAAAACAUAAUGAAACACUAUGCUCAUUCAAAAAGAGCGAAAGAAAAUUUGAGGUCUAAGACUGGGUACUCUUAAAAUCACAGCCUUACAAGAAGUCAUCAAUGGCUGUGAGGAAAAACUUGAAGUUGUCAGCUUGAUUCUUUGGUCUCUCAUGACUGAAAAUAGGAGAAGGAAUAGACACUGGAGAAUCAGGAGAAGGGUGAGGAGAAGAA